This 1814-nucleotide ribosomal RNA is filed under the name Salmonella enterica. Its description in RNAcentral is "partial 23S ribosomal RNA". It matches the Rfam family "Bacterial large subunit ribosomal RNA", at positions 1163 to 2925 of the family's 2925-position model. The record is from RNAcentral. Lineage: Bacteria; Pseudomonadati; Pseudomonadota; Gammaproteobacteria; Enterobacterales; Enterobacteriaceae. RNAcentral also lists the same sequence under 2 other names.
CAAGACAACUUUACGGAGUUGACGAUUGACGGAGCGAAGCGACGUCAAAGCGUUCAUUAAAGUCGAGUUGGCUUAGGGAUACGUUCGUUGGGUAGGGGAGCGUUCUGUAAGCCUGUGAAGGUGUGUCGUGAGGCAUGCUGGAGGUAUCAGAAGUGCGAAUGCUGACAUAAGUAACGAUAAAGCGGGUGAAAAGCCCGCUCGCCGGAAGACCAAGGGUUCCUGUCCAACGUUAAUCGGGGCAGGGUGAGUCGACCCCUAAGGCGAGGCCGAAAGGCGUAGUCGAUGGGAAACGGGUUAAUAUUCCCGUACUUGGUGUUACUGCGAAGGGGGGACGGAGAAGGCUAUGUUGGCCGGGCGACGGUUGUCCCGGUUUAAGCGUGUAGGUGUGUGUUCCAGGUAAAUCCGGUUCACUUUAACACUGAGGCGUGACGACGAGGCACUACGGUGCUGAAGCAACAAAUGCCCUGCUUCCAGGAAAAGCCUCUAAGCAUCAGGUAACACGAAAUCGUACCCCAAACCGACACAGGUGGUCAGGUAGAGAAUACCAAGGCGCUUGAGAGAACUCGGGUGAAGGAACUAGGCAAAAUGGUGCCGUAACUUCGGGAGAAGGCACGCUGACACGUAGGUGAAGUGAUUUACUCAUGGAGCUGAAGUCAGUCGAAGAUACCAGCUGGCUGCAACUGUUUAUUAAAAACACAGCACUGUGCAAACACGAAAGUGGACGUAUACGGUGUGACGCCUGCCCGGUGCCGGAAGGUUAAUUGAUGGGGUCAGCGUAAGCGAAGCUCCUGAUCGAAGCCCCGGUAAACGGCGGCCGUAACUAUAACGGUCCUAAGGUAGCGAAAUUCCUUGUCGGGUAAGUUCCGACCUGCACGAAUGGCGUAAUGAUGGCCAGGCUGUCUCCACCCGAGACUCAGUGAAAUUGAACUCGCUGUGAAGAUGCAGUGUACCCGCGGCAAGACGGAAAGACCCCGUGAACCUUUACUAUAGCUUGACACUGAACAUUGAGCCUUGAUGUGUAGGAUAGGUGGGAGGCUUUGAAGUGUGGACGCCAGUCUGCAUGGAGCCGACCUUGAAAUACCACCCUUUAAUGUUUGAUGUUCUAACGUGGACCCGUAAUCCGGGUUGCGGACAGUGUCUGGUGGGUAGUUUGACUGGGGCGGUCUCCUCCUAAAGAGUAACGGAGGAGCACGAAGGUUGGCUAAUCCUGGUCGGACAUCAGGAGGUUAGUGCAAUGGCAUAAGCCAGCUUGACUGCGAGCGUGACGGCGCGAGCAGGUGCGAAAGCAGGUCAUAGUGAUCCGGUGGUUCUGAAUGGAAGGGCCAUCGCUCAACGGAUAAAAGGUACUCCGGGGAUAACAGGCUGAUACCGCCCAAGAGUUCAUAUCGACGGCGGUGUUUGGCACCUCGAUGUCGGCUCAUCACAUCCUGGGGCUGAAGUAGGUCCCAAGGGUAUGGCUGUUCGCCAUUUAAAGUGGUACGCGAGCUGGGUUUAGAACGUCGUGAGACAGUUCGGUCCCUAUCUGCCGUGGGCGCUGGAGAACUGAGGGGGGCUGCUCCUAGUACGAGAGGACCGGAGUGGACGCAUCACUGGUGUUCGGGUUGUCAUGCCAAUGGCACUGCCCGGUAGCUAAAUGCGGAAGAGAUAAGUGCUGAAAGCAUCUAAGCACGAAACUUGCCCCGAGAUGAGUUCUCCCUGAGACUUAGAGUCUCCUGAAGGAACGUUGAAGACGACGACGUUGAUAGGCCGGGUGUGUAAGCGCAGCGAUGCGUUGAGCUAACCGGUACUAAUGAACCGUGAGGCUUAACCUUACA